UGAUGUGACUCUGGGCCUGGGCUGUAG
RNAcentral lists this non-coding RNA (27 nucleotides) under Cricetulus griseus (Chinese hamster). The record is from RNAcentral. Lineage: Eukaryota; Metazoa; Chordata; Mammalia; Rodentia; Cricetidae.